Molecule: ribosomal RNA, 500 nt
Filed under: uncultured bacterium
Lineage: Bacteria
Description: partial 16S ribosomal RNA
Rfam family: Bacterial small subunit ribosomal RNA
Source: RNAcentral
AUUGAACGCUGGCGGCAGGCCUAACACAUGCAAGUCGAGCGGAUGACGGGAGCUUGCUCCUUGAUUCAGCGGCGGACGGGUGAGUAAUGCCUAGGAAUCUGCCUGGUAGUGGGGGACAACGUUUCGAAAGGAACGCUAAUGCCGCAUACGUCCUACGGGAGAAAGCAGGGGACCUUCGGGCCUUGCGCUAUCAGAUGAGCCUAGGUCGGAUUAGCUAGUAGGUGAGGUAAUGGCUCACCUAGGCGACGAUCCGUAACUGGUCUGAGAGGAUGAUCAGUCAAACUGGAACUGAGACACGGUCCAGACUCCUACGGGAGGCAGCAGUGGGGAAUAUUGGACAAUGGGCGAAAGCCUGAUCCAGCCAUGCCGCGUGUGUGAAGAAGGUCUUCGGAUUGUAAAGCACUUUAAGUUGGGAGGAAGGGUUGUACGUUAAUACCGUGCAAUUUUGACGUUACCGACAGAAUAAGCACCGGCUAACUCUGUGCCAGCAGCCGCCGUAA